This 499-nucleotide ribosomal RNA is filed under the name uncultured bacterium. RNAcentral describes it as "partial 16S ribosomal RNA". It matches the Rfam family "Bacterial small subunit ribosomal RNA", at positions 28 to 507 of the family's 1533-position model. The record is from RNAcentral.
GACGAACGCUGGCGGCGUGCCUAAUACAUGCAUGUCGAGCGGACUGAAUGGGAGCUUGCUCUUGUUCGGUCAGCGGCGGACGGGUGAGUAACACGUGGGCAACCUGCCCGCAAGACCGGGAUAACUCCGGGAAACCGGAGCUAAUACCGGAUAACACCGAAGACCGCAUGGUCUUUGGUUGAAAGGCGGCGCAAGCUGCCACUUGCGGAUGGGCCCGCGGCGCAUUAGCUAGUUGGUGAGGUAACGGCUCACCAAGGCGACGAUGCGUAGCCGGCCUGAGAGGGUGACCGGCCACACUGGGACUGAGACACGGCCCAGACUCCUACGGGAGGCAGCAGUAGGGAAUCUUCCGCAAUGGGCGAAAGCCUGACGGAGCGACGCCGCGUGAGCGAAGAAGGCCUUCGGGUCGUAAAGCUCUGUUGUGAGGGACGAAGGAGCGCCGUUUGAAGAAGGCGGCGCGGUGACGGUACCUCACGAGGAAGCCCCGGCUAACUACGUG